CCAAUUCAAAUAUAAAAAAUCUAUUUUUUUAAAACAUUUUAUUUAGAUAUACACAAAAUUAUUUUAUCAGAUCUGAUUAAAGAAAUUUAAUUAGUAAAAAUAUUCAAGAGUGAAUGAAGACUAGUUAAUAAAUAAAUAAUUCUUUUUAAUUACCAUAAGAAAAAAGCACAUCAUCUAAGAUUUACAAAUCAGAACAAAAUCUCAGUAAUUGAUGAAUGGUGUAUCAUAAUUAGGUUUUGACAUAUUUUGGGUUCAACUAGAUUUAGUUAGAUAAGUUUUUCUUCAAAUUUAAAUUCUACCAAGCAAUAUGGAGGUAUAGAACAUGUAUAACAUGAUGACCUCAAUUCUGUACAGCAGGAAGUAUAAAUAUUCAUCAACAUUUAAUAACAUCAUUAUCAGUUAAG
Biomphalaria pfeifferi is the source of this 404-nucleotide non-coding RNA. The record is from the annotation of a GenBank genome assembly. Lineage: Eukaryota; Metazoa; Mollusca; Gastropoda; Planorbidae.